This 497-nucleotide ribosomal RNA is filed under the name uncultured bacterium. Its description in RNAcentral is "partial 16S ribosomal RNA". It matches the Rfam family "Bacterial small subunit ribosomal RNA", at positions 28 to 507 of the family's 1533-position model. The record is from RNAcentral.
GAUGAACGCUGGCGGCGUGCCUAAUACAUGCAAGUCGAGCGAACAGACGAGGAGCUUGCUCCUCUGACGUUAGCGGCGGACGGGUGAGUAACACGUGGAUAACCUACCUAUAAGACUGGGAUAACUUCGGGAAACCGGAGCUAAUACCGGAUAAUAUAUUGAACCGCAUGGUUCAAUAGUGAAAGACGGUUUUGCUGUCACUUAUAGAUGGAUCCGCGCCGCAUUAGCUAGUUGGUAAGGUAACGGCUUACCAAGGCAACGAUGCGUAGCCGACCUGAGAGGGUGGUCGGCCACACUGGAACUGAGACACGGUCCAGACUCCUACGGGAGGCAGCAGUAGGGAAUCUUCCGCAAUGGGCGAAAGCCUGACGGAGCAACGCCGCGUGAGUGAUGAAGGUCUUCGGAUCGUAAAACUCUGUUAUUAGGGAAGAACAAAUGUGUAAGUAACUAUGCAUGUCUUGACGGUACCUAAUCAGAAAGCCACGGCUAACUACGUG